Molecule: ribosomal RNA, 661 nt
Filed under: Clitocybe mediterranea
Lineage: Eukaryota; Fungi; Basidiomycota; Agaricomycetes; Agaricales; Clitocybaceae
Description: eukaryotic LSU rRNA
Rfam family: 5.8S ribosomal RNA (bases 269-422)
Source: RNAcentral
CGUAGGUGAACCUGCGGAAGGAUCAUUAUUGAAUUUAAAUUGAAGUGAGUUGUCGCUGGCCCUUUGGGGCAUGUGCACGCUUGCUCUCAUUUAAUUAAACCACCUGUGCACUUAUUGUAGACUUUGGAAUGAUCUUCAAGCUUUCAUUAGCUUGGUUUGAGGAAUUGCAUUAGCUUUCCUUGUAUUUCCUAGUCUAUGUUUUCAUAUACCCCCAAUGUAUGUCUUUGAAUGUCAUUAAUGGGCUGUCAAAAGCCUUUGAAAUUAAUACAACUUUCAACAACGGAUCUCUUGGCUCUCGCAUCGAUGAAGAACGCAGCGAAAUGCGAUAAGUAAUGUGAAUUGCAGAAUUCAGUGAAUCAUCGAAUCUUUGAACGCACCUUGCGCUCCUUGGUAUUCCGAGGAGCAUGCCUGUUUGAGUGUCAUUAAAUUCUCAACCUCUUCAAUUUUGAAUUGAAUUGGCUUGGAUAUGGGAGUUGCGGGCUUCUUAGCAAGUCGGCUCUUCUCAAAUGCAUUAGUGGAACUUUGUUUGUUGACCAUCAGUGGUGUGAUAAUUAUCUACGCCAUUUCUGAUGUAAAGCAAUACAUUAUAAAGUUCAGCUUCUAACCGUCCAUUGACUUGGACAAUCUUUUUAAUUGACUAUUUGACCUCAAAUCAGGUAGA